Molecule: transfer RNA, 63 nt
Filed under: Heterocephalus glaber (naked mole-rat)
Lineage: Eukaryota; Metazoa; Chordata; Mammalia; Rodentia; Bathyergidae
Rfam family: tRNA
About the family: Transfer RNA (tRNA) molecules are approximately 80 nucleotides in length.
Source: Rfam by way of RNAcentral
GGGAGUGCCGCUCAGUGGUAGAGCACUUGCCUCACAUGCAAAAGAUGUUGGGUCCCAUUCCCA